Molecule: transfer RNA, 72 nt
Filed under: Camelus bactrianus (Bactrian camel)
Lineage: Eukaryota; Metazoa; Chordata; Mammalia; Artiodactyla; Camelidae
Also listed under: 1 other name
Rfam family: tRNA
About the family: Transfer RNA (tRNA) molecules are approximately 80 nucleotides in length. Their secondary structure includes four short double-helical elements and three loops (D, anti-codon, and T loops).
Source: Rfam by way of RNAcentral
GUGGGUAUAGCUCGGUGGUAGAGCGCCUGCUUGGCAUGUGAAGGGUCCUGGGUUCAAUCUCCAGUACCUCCA